GGGGGAUAUUGCGCAAUGGGGGCAACCCUGACGCAGCAACGCCGCGUGAAGGAUGAAGGUUUUCGGAUUGUAAACUUCUUUUAUUAAGGACGAAAAAUGACGGUACUUAAUGAAUAAGCUCCGGCUAACUACGUGCCAGCAGCCGCGGUAAUACGUAGGGAGCAAGCGUUGUCCGGAUUUACUGGGUGUAAAGGGUGCGUAGGCGGCUUUGCAAGUCAGAUGUGAAAUCUAUGGGCUCAACCCAUAAACUGCAUUUGAAACUGUAGAGCUUGAGUGAAGUAGAGGCAGGCGGAAUUCCCCGUGUAGCGGUGAAAUGCGUAGAGAUGGGGAGGAACACCAGUGGCGAAGGCGGCCUGCUGGGCUUUAACUGACGCUGAGGCACGAAAGCGUGGGUAGCAAACAGGAUUAGAUACCCUGGUAGUCCACGCUGUAAACGAUGAUUACUAGGUGUGGGGGGUCUGACCCCUUCCGUGCCGGAGUUAACACAAUAAGUAAUCCACCUGGGGAGUACGGCCGCAAGGUUGAAACUCAAAGGAAUUGACGGGGGCCCGCAUAAGCAGUGGAGUAUGUGGUUUAAUUCGAAGCAACGCGAAGAACCUUACCAGGUCUUGACAUCCAACUAACGAAGUAGAGAUACAUUAGGUGCCCUUCGGGGAAAGUUGAGACAGGUGGUGCAUGGUUGUCGUCAGCUCGUGUCGUGAGAUGUUGGGUUAAGUCCCGCAACGAGCGCAACCCUUGCUAUUAGUUGCUACGCAAGAGCACUCUAAUAGGACUGCCGUUGACAAAACGGAGGAAGGUGGGGACGACGUCAAAUCAUCAUGCCCCUUAUGACCUGGGCUACACACGUACUACAAUGGAUGUUAACAGAGGGAAGCAAGACAGCGAUGUGGAGCAAACCCCUAAAAACAUUCUCAGUUCAGAUUGCAGGCUGCAACCCGCCUGCAUGAAGAUGGAAUUGCUAGUAAUCGCGGAUCAGCAUGCCGCGGUGAAUACGUUCCCG
Molecule: ribosomal RNA, 1000 nt
Filed under: uncultured organism
Description: bacterial SSU rRNA
Rfam family: Bacterial small subunit ribosomal RNA
Source: RNAcentral